This 582-nucleotide ribosomal RNA is filed under the name Triticum aestivum (bread wheat). RNAcentral's name for it is "partial small subunit ribosomal RNA". The record is from RNAcentral. Lineage: Eukaryota; Viridiplantae; Streptophyta; Magnoliopsida; Poales; Poaceae.
AUGGUGGAGGGCUCCGCGUCCGACAUCGCCAACCUGAAGUUCCUCCUCCUGUGCUUCCAACAGAUGUCCGGCCUCACCAUCAACUUCGACAAGAGCGAAGUGAUGGUCCUCGGCUACCCCCCGGACGAUGCUUUGUCCAUUGCGGACCGGCUGAACUGCCGCCUGGGCUCCUUCCCCACGACUUACUUGGGGCUGCCCAUUAGUGACUCCAGACUCACCGUCGCGGAUCUCCGCCCGACGGUGACUAGGAUGCAGCAUAGGGUUGAACCCUGGAGGGGACGCUGGCUGUCGAAAGCUGCCAGGGUGAUUCUAAUCAACUCCUCGCUUGCCAGCCUUCUCUGGUUUCUCAUGAGCUUCUACAGCCUUCAUGAGACCCUCCAUCAGGAGGUGGCCAAAUACCGGUCGAGGUUCUUCUGGGCUGGUGAGGGCGACAAGCAGAAGUACCAUAUGGUGAGCUGGCCCGACAUCUGCAAACCUAAAGACCAGGGUGGCCUUGGGAUCCUGUCAUCCCGACGCAUGAACAUUGCCUUCCUGACCCGAUGGCUGUGGCGUAUUGCCAAUGGGGAGGGAGGCCUCUGGCUC